This 497-nucleotide ribosomal RNA is filed under the name uncultured bacterium. RNAcentral's name for it is "partial 16S ribosomal RNA". It matches the Rfam family "Bacterial small subunit ribosomal RNA", at positions 28 to 507 of the family's 1533-position model. The record is from RNAcentral.
GAUGAACGCUGGCGGCGUGCCUAAUACAUGCAAGUCGAGCGAACAGACGAGGAGCUUGCUCCUCUGACGUUAGCGGCGGACGGGUGAGUAACACGUGGAUAACCUACCUAUAAGACUGGGAUAACUUCGGGAAACCGGAGCUAAUACCGGAUAAUAUAUUGAACCGCAUGGUUCAAUAGUGAAAGACGGUUUUGCUGUCACUUAUAGAUGGAUCCGCGCCGCAUUAGCUAGUUGGUAAGGUAACGGCUUACCAAGGCGACGAUGCGUAGCCGACCUGAGAGGGUGAUCGGCCACACUGGAACUGAGACACGGUCCAGACUCCUACGGGAGGCAGCAGUAGGGAAUCUUCCGAAAAGGGCGAAAGCCUGACGGAGCAACGCCGCGUGAGUGAUGAAGGUCUUCGGAUCGUAAAACUCUGUUAUUAGGGAAGAACAAAUGUGUAAGUAACUAUGCACGUCUUGACGGUACCUAAUCAGAAAGCCACGGCUAACUACGUG